GCCUUACUGUUCAGGAUUACAAAAUUUUUAUUCUUUUUUUUAAAGAGAAUAAACAUCAGCAGACUGACUCCGAGCCACAGAUUUAUUAAAGUUAGAUUAGUUUAGUAAAUGUAAAGUUCAUCAAUGCAGAACAGAAUAAUUCAUCAAAAAGGACCAUAUAUUAUAUACUGGUACUAUAUUCAUAAACAUUAUCUCAAUAUGCUAACAGCCAUGCUAACAGCUCUGUGAGACUGUAACUGGUUAGAGCUAAAUGCAAGCUAUAGCAUAGCAUGCUAACCUUCUCACAGUAUUAAUAAAUGUUGAUGUUUAGCAAACAUGUUCACCAUCUUUGCCUAGCAUGCUAACUGCUCAGUUAAGCUGAGCAGUUAACUGCUAACAUGCUAGCUACAAUAAUGCUAACAUGUUGAUGUAUAGCAAAUAGAAGGUCAGAAUCUUUGUUUAGCAUGCUAACAUGCUGAUGUUUAGCCAAUGUGUUUGCAGUCUUUGCUUUGCCCAGUAACCUGCUCAAAAUGACAAUGCUAACAUGAUGAUGUUAAGCAGACAUGUUUGCUAACAUUGCUUAGCAUGCUAACAUGCUGGCAUUGCUUAGCAUACAAACAUGCUUGCAACAACAAUGCAAAUAUUUAAUGUUAAGCAAACAUGUUGACCGUCUUUGCUUAGCUUGUUAACAUGCUAAUAUUAAGCAGAUAUAAUGCUUACCAUCUUUGUUUAGCAUGCUAACAUGCUCACAACAACAAUGCUAACAUGUUGAUGUAAAGCAGACAUGUUUGCUAACGAUGUUUAGCAUGUUAGCAUGCUUGUAGCAACAUUGCUAAUAUUUUGAUGUUUAGCAAGUAUUUUUACCGUCUUUGUUUAGCAUGCUAACAUUCAUGCUCAAAGAAUGUUAAUAUUUACCAGAUACACACACACACACACACACACACACACACACACACACACACACACACACACACACACGCAGGUAGUCAUCAAAUGUUUCACUCAACAUCCCGAAUAUUAACUUCCUAAAAGAGGUACAUCCUCUGAUGAUUAUGAACGUCUGCUCUGAAUGACAUCUAACAGCUGUUAAGAUGUUUCGGUCUGAGCGGUGAACUGAUAAUAGAAUAAAAUAAUACUUUAUUGAUAAUUUACAGACUUGUAACAGCAGCAUGUCGACACGUCGAUGACCCACAAAACCGACAGAACAAGAAUAGUCAUCAGUACGAGCACAUACACGGUAUAUAAGGUAGAAAAAAUAUGAUAAAAGUUAAAACAUAUGUCGGGAAAAUUGUUAACUUCUCUAAAUUAAAACUCAGAGUCGUCUCUCAAAUCAAAGUAAACAGACCCCAGUCUGAUAAAAGUGACUGAUAAAAGCCUUUAUACAGGCACAUUAGCAGGAGGGACACAUCUUGGUGUGAUAUCUCUAGUUUGAGUUAUAAACCACACAGUUAAAUAGUAUUACAAUGAAUAAGAACAUUUAAUCAUAAAACAUAAUCAUUUACAUAACAGCACAGCAUAGAACACAUAAAUUAAAAUAUAAAAGCCUGAUUGGUGGACGGGCGCUAAGCUGUUAGCAUGGCUAAAGCAUACAGACACAGUUUAACCCUCCUGUUGUCCUCAUCUAACAGCACCAAAAAAAUAUUUUCUUGUCCGAAAAAAUCCAAAAAUUCAGCAAAAAAAUUCCCCAAAUUUCUGAAAAUUUGCAAAACCUUGAAAAUUUGCAAAACUUUCAGGAAGAAAUUUCCAAUAAUUCCUUAAAAGUUUUAUUUUUAAAAAAUAAUCCCUCAAAUUUGGCAAGAAAAUUCUUGUAAAUAUUUUCAAAAAAUGAUAAAAAUCUUCCCAAAAAAAUCCUAAAAAUAUCUAAAGUGAUUCCAUAUAUAUCAGUAAAACUUCUAAUAUUUUCUUUAAGAACAUUCAUUUUUUUUGUGUGAAUGUUCUUAAGAAGGGCUGCACAGUGGCGUAGUGGUUAGCACUUUCGCCUUGCAGCAAGAAGGUCCCUGGUUCGCGUCCCGGCUUUCCCGGGAUCUUUCUGCAUGGAGUUUGCAUGUUCUCCCUGUGCAUGCGUGGGUUCUCUCCGGGUACUCCGGCUUCCUCCCACAGUCCAAAAAUAUGCUGAGGUUAAUUGAUCAUUCUAAAUUGCCCGUAGGUGUGAAUGUGAGAGUGCUUGUUUGUCUAUAUAUGUAGCCCUGCGACAGACUGGCGACCUGUCCAGGGUGUCCCCUGCCUUCACCUGAGUCAGCUGGGAUAGGCUCCAGCCCCCCCCGCGACCCUAGUGAGGAUUAAGCGGUGUAUAGAUAAUGGAUGGAUGGAUGUUCUUAAGAAACAUUUUUGACAUUUUUUUUCCACCAAAAAUGUUCAAAAAUUUACCAAAAAUGUUAAAAAUGUGGACAUCAGAAGUUUCACUGUGAAAAUAUUUUUUUUCCCCACAUUUUCAAAGUUGAAAACGGGUCGAUUUUGACCCGCAGGACGACACGAGGGUUAAAUAGAAGCAUUAAAAACAUCAAACCAGAACAUGUUCAGUCAUAAUAUUUUUUAUUCCAGCCAUCACCAGGAAGUUCUACUAAGAAUAUACAGACACAUGAUUAUCCUCAGCACCAGACGGGUGGAGUUAAACCAUCAUCUGGACUCUUUUCAGUCUUUCUGGCACCUUUUGUGGGUUUGAAGAUUAUAUUUACCCGAGUGGAUCUUUCUGAAGCUCUGUGUAAACGUCUCACAGCCGAGAAAUGUCACAUGAUGAGAAGGUUUGGUGGUUACCUGUGAUUACCAGUUUUGUACACAAACGUACGUCAGCGGUUUCAUCAUCAGCGUCUGACGUCAUGACGCACAGCUGCUGAUAUAGAACCCGGAACCAGAUGAGUGGAGCGCAGUAACCGGCAGGACCUGAGGGAGCUGCGGAGGAUAUUUAUCUUCAUUUACUGUCUUUUUGGCCAUUUCAACCUGAACCAGGAUGGCGAACGGACACGUGGAAAUCCACGACCUGUUGUCCGCCCACCACAGCCCCUCCAGCUGCUCAGACCCUGAAUCCACCUCAGACAGCGACAGAAUGGACGACACGGUGGAGUUCAGGAUCAUGAUGGCGUUCGCCAAGAGGAGACGACCUCAACAGCAGCAGCAGCAGGAUUCAAAUCCAGACGACGGACCAGUGAAGGAUAGCAGAGAUGCUAACGGAACGACGACUCCAUCCCAGACACCAGAGAAGACUGAGGGGAAGAAGAAGAGGAAGAAGAAGGGAUGGAAACGUCUGUCGAGCAUUUUGAGAUGUGUCAAACCUCAGACUGAAGACCCAGAACCACAGCCAACGCCUCGACCCAACGGAAACUUCAGGAGUUUGGAUCCUAGAACCAAUGAGCGACUGGUAGUGGACUCACACGAACCCGAUGAGGUUAAAGAUGACGAUCAUUUGGCCGAGGCAGUGAGCAGACUGACGGAGAUCGCUGAAGAAAUCCCGUUCACUCCUCCAGAAUGGGAGACGGACUCCAGAGACGGUGAGGUGGAGAAGAUUAUCGGUCUGAUUCUGAGGGAAAGUGGAGACAGACUGAAUGAGAAGGAGCUGAAGAACGCCAACAUCGCAGCAGAACUCUUCUGGAACUACAGCUUCUUUAGGGAGCUAAUAAAUAGACUGCUCAUGAGGAUGGGCCUCAGGAGCCCCGACCCCGACGCUCUGGGGCCUCAAGCAUCACCCAAAACCCAGAUCGCUGUGACCUGUGAGGUGACAACAGCUGUCCUUAAAACACAACUUCCAGUACUUCCCUCUUUGAUAGGAAACAACUUCUAUUUCAGAUCAGUAGCGACUUACAGCAGCAGACUCUAAACUUCAUUGCACCACGAACCGGAAUGACAAAAACGAGACACAACAUGACAAAAAUGAGACAGGAAGACGAUCUAGUCAUUUUUCAAAAUAAAACACCCUGCAGACUCCACCAGAAAUGAAAUGUAAAAUAAAUGGUUUUUAUUCUCUCUGGUGGUUGGAGACUUAAAGGACUCUGAAACUUUACGAGGCAAAGAUCAGAGAAGUAAAAAAACAUCCUGUUACCAGUAGAAACCUCCGAGUUUAGAGUCACCGCUGAGCUUUCACGUCUUCAUCACCUCCCAGUCUGGUGAAUCAUGGUCUUUGAAACGUUUCUGUUCCUCGUCAGGUCACCAGUCGUCUCUCUGAGGUGAACUCUCUGCCCAGGAACCUCCUGAUGCGCCACGGAGCCCGAUACCUGCAGGACUACUACUCCACCUGGGCUCAGCAGCAGGGCGGAUACGUACGUAUAUACGCUCCUCCUCAUCACAAAAUCUGACCUGUAAAACCUUUUAAACGACGCUAACAGCAUCUCUUUCAGGAGGCAGCCUUUGAGGGAGACGAGGAUGAAGUGGAGUGAACCGGACCAGGUCUUCCAGCUCCACAGCGCCUCCUGCAGGCCGUCACAGAAGCAGCAUUAGGAGUCCUACAGAGUGUGGAGAACACAGAACAGGAGCUUUGUGUUUUCAUUCAGACAGAUCAGUUUACACAGAACACGUCUGCAGCCGUGAGCUUUAAAACAAACAAUCAUGUGCUGUCAGGGGCCACGAGACGAUGAAUAAAUUAUUUUUGUACCGUUAUAACCUCUGUGAUUAAGGUUGUCUUGACUUUUUGAAAUCAUCAUUAUUUGCUUUGUAGUUAGAAAGAAGAAAAGUAUAGCUCAGCACUUGCACUUUUAAGAUCACGGAAAAUAGAUGUAAAAUAGAAGUGGUGUUGUUUGUGUUGUUUCUAAGGGACCACUGUGUGUACUGUUGUUGUUGUUUAGACAUAAAUGUAAAUGAAAACACAGAUUUUUAGUCUGUGGAUUGUUUGUGUGAACAUUUUUAGCACAAUACAUCCUGUCAGUUUUCAUAUGAAGUGCAGAAAUGUGUCUAAAAACUGCCUAAAUGCUACUUUUUUGUGUUUUUUCUGUUAUAGUUUAAUGAUUGAGCUCAGAUGAAAACGGCACCACCCUGUGGCCAAAUGUGGAACUGAUUCAAACAACCCCAAUUCAAAUUAGAUUAAUUAAUAAAUGUUGUUUACUUUAUGGAUAUAUUGACAUGUUUUACUCUUGUGAUAAGUUGUUGUAUUUAUUUUAAUAAAUUCAGCAUAAAGUGAACAAAUCCAAGGAUUGGAAAUUUGGAAACGACAAAAACUAGACACAAAAUGACAGAACUGAUACACAAUGACAAAACCGAGACACAAAACGACAAAACUGAGACACAAAAUGACAUAAACGAGACAGAACGACAAAACCGAAACAAAAUGACAAAAACGAGACUCAAACUGACAAAAACGAGACAAAAAUGACAAAAGACUCAAAGUGACAAAAAUGAGACACAAAACCGAGACACAAAAUGACAAAAACAAGACAGGAAAUGACAUUUUAGUGAUAUCCAGUCAUUUUUAUUAAUAAGUGAUUGUUUCCAUAAUAAAUAAUUAUGUAAUUUGUAAAGACAUGAUCAUAAUGAACAUAACAUUUUUGCUUUUAAUAAAAAUGUAGGCAGAUAUAUCCUAAAGUCCUUCAGUUAUAUAUUGACCCACCAGGUGGCACAAAGAUAAAGUUUUUAUUAGUAAUGUUCUUUAAAUAAAGUAUAAAAGGUGGAACUGGUGGAUUUAUUGACUUAUAAUCGUUAUUGCUGUUGAUAGAAGAAAAGUUUUAAAUUUUAUUUCUGUGAAGGAGUCUGGAGCUUCUUCGGUCCGUGUAUUUAUCUGGCAAUUGGAUUUUCCGUUCUGAAACGGGUAUUGAAAAACAAAACGAAU
Amphiprion ocellaris (clown anemonefish) is the source of this 5728-nucleotide long non-coding RNA. The record is from Ensembl. NCBI's taxonomy places the organism in Eukaryota, Metazoa, Chordata, Actinopteri, Pomacentridae.